ACCGUGAGGGAAAGGCGAAAAGAACCCCGGCGAGGGGAGUGAAAAAGAACCUGAAACCGUGUACGUACAAGCAGUGGGAGCACAGGUUUACCUGUGUGACUGCGUACCUUUUGUAUAAUGGGUCAGCGACUUAUAUUCUGUAGCAAGGUUAACCGAAUAGGGGAGCCGGAGGGAAACCGAGUCUUAAUUGGGCGUUAAGUUGCAGGGUAUAGACCCGAAACCCGGUGAUCUAGCCAUGGGCAGGUUGAAGGUUGGGUAACACUAACUGGAGGACCGAACCGACUAAUGUUGAAAAAUUAGCGGAUGACCUGUGGCUGGGGGUGAAAGGCCAAUCAAACCGGGAGAUAGCUGGUUCUCCCCGAAAGCUAUUUAGGUAGCGCCUCGUGAAUUCAUCUCCGGGGGUAGAGCACUGUUUCGGCUAGGGGGCCAUCCCGGCUUACCAACCCGAUGCAAACUGCGAAUACCGGAGAAUGUUAUCACGGGAGACACACGGCGGGUGCUAACGUCCGUCGUGAAGAGGGAAACAACCCAGACCGCCAGCUAAGGUCCCAAAGUCAUGGUUAAGUGGGAAACGAUGUGGGAAGGCCCAGACAGCCAGGAUGUUGGCUUAGAAGCAGCCAUCAUUUAAAGAAAGCGUAAUAGCUCACUGGUCGAGUCGGCCUGCGCGGAAGAUGUAACGGGGCUAAACCAUG
Molecule: ribosomal RNA, 692 nt
Filed under: Salmonella enterica
Lineage: Bacteria; Pseudomonadati; Pseudomonadota; Gammaproteobacteria; Enterobacterales; Enterobacteriaceae
Description: partial 23S ribosomal RNA
Rfam family: Bacterial large subunit ribosomal RNA
Source: RNAcentral